UCGGGUUUGGCCGGCCGAUGGAGGAAGCGCAACGCGAAAGACCGUCAACACAGACGCUGACAAACACUGAACACAGCAUGAAUACUGAUGGGGAUGGAAAUGGAGUGGAUAUGUUUGCGUGUAUGAAGACCAGCGUGCUAAUGGCGUUGCGUGUGCACCCACACCGCCCCAGCAGAGAAUGGAGGAUGAGGCUUUUUCGUGCUGAUGGCCUGCACCCCAGC
Molecule: long non-coding RNA, 221 nt
Organism: Sinocyclocheilus grahami
Lineage: Eukaryota; Metazoa; Chordata; Actinopteri; Cypriniformes; Cyprinidae
Exons: 3
Source: RefSeq, a predicted model, not a curated record